CUUCGUCUUGCUUCAGCAUUUUAACCCACUUCGCCGCCGCUACAAACGUCGCCCCGUUGUCCGAAUAAAUACGCUCAGGACGACCGCGUCUUGCAAUAAAUCUUUGGAGGCUGUUUAGACACUCAGACGUCUCCAUGUUAGGCAGAAGUUCGAGGUAUACUCCACGAGUAAGACUACAAGCGUAUAACAAGAUGUACGCCUUGCCUUCUUUUCCUUUCGACUUUCUAUAACGUAGUGGACCCGCGUAAUCAAUUCCGAUAACUUGAUAUGCAGUGGAUCCUUCGGUUCUGGUGGUUGGUAAGUUCGAUGGAGGGGGCGUUGCGUAAGCAAUGGCGUGGAAUCGCUUGCAUCCAUGGCAAUCUUUAAUAACCCGCUUCACUAAUCGUCGCAAACGAGGGAUCCAAUGUCUUUCUCGAACGUUCACCAUUGUCAAUCCGACUCCCCCAUGAAGUGUGGACUUGUGUGCAUGUUCGACGAAUUUUCUUGCCAGCAAUGAUGAACUAGGAAUGUAGACCGGGUAAAACCCCUGAACUCUUCCUCUGCACUCUAAAACACC
This is a non-coding RNA of Paramuricea clavata, 556 nucleotides long. NCBI's taxonomy places the organism in Eukaryota, Metazoa, Cnidaria, Anthozoa, Malacalcyonacea, Plexauridae. The record is from the annotation of a GenBank genome assembly.